AGUGGCAAGUGAUGAGGCAUUAUUUAUAUGCUAAACACUGAAUUAUAUGUGGACUAAAAACUCCGCUUAUUAUCUGAUGCCACU
Molecule: small nucleolar RNA, 84 nt
Organism: Panicum hallii
Lineage: Eukaryota; Viridiplantae; Streptophyta; Magnoliopsida; Poales; Poaceae
Product: small nucleolar RNA R16
Exons: 1
Source: RefSeq, a predicted model, not a curated record